AAAAAAAGAACAAAAGCCCCGUAACAACAUGUUGACAUUACAGGGCUUUUGUUCGGGAGCCACCGAAGUGACUCCCUCAUGGGAGAGGAGAAACCGGACGAAGAGCUUAUGGGGAAACGUAAGUCUUCUCCGCGG
Paenibacillus sp. Y412MC10 is the source of this 135-nucleotide non-coding RNA. Lineage: Bacteria; Bacillati; Bacillota; Bacilli; Caryophanales; Paenibacillaceae. The record is from Rfam.